UACGUAGGUGGCGAGCGUUGUCCGGAAUUACUGGGUGUAAAGGGCGUGUAGGCGGGAAUGUAAGUCAGAUGUGAAAUACCAUGGCUUAACUGUGGAACUGCAUCUGAAACUAUGUUUCUUGAGUGCUGGAGAGGAAAGCGGAAUUCCUAGUGUAGCGGUGAAAUGCGUAGAUAUUAGGAGGAACACCAGUGGCGAAGGCGGCUUUCUGGACAGUAACUGACGCUGAGGCGCGAAAGCGUGGGGAGCAAAC
This 250-nucleotide ribosomal RNA is filed under the name uncultured bacterium. RNAcentral describes it as "partial 16S ribosomal RNA". It matches the Rfam family "Bacterial small subunit ribosomal RNA", at positions 524 to 773 of the family's 1533-position model. The record is from RNAcentral.